Molecule: long non-coding RNA, 285 nt
Filed under: Sarcophilus harrisii (Tasmanian devil)
Lineage: Eukaryota; Metazoa; Chordata; Mammalia; Dasyuromorphia; Dasyuridae
Description: lncRNA (ENSSHAG00000030779.1)
Source: RNAcentral
AAAAACCCAAACAACCCCAACUGAUUUAUUUUAAGAUAAGUUAGAUAAGGUAGAAACAUAAUUGUUGAAAAAUGGAUCCCGGAAUGCUUCAUUAAGUUCAGACAAAUUUUUUCCAGGAUGUGGGAAGAUCUCUAACUUCAUUGCUGAUAGCUAUCAAUGUAAGCAUUGGAAUGCAGUUCCUCCAAGUCUGUAGUAGUCCAAAGGGAAGAGGGAUGGAGCAAGCAUUUAGUAAGCACUGAAAUGUGCUACACAUUCUGCUAAGCAUUUUACAAAUAUUUCAUUUGA